CCUUUUUUUUUUAACAUUAAAAUAAUCUGACCUAAAAUAUUCUAAACCUAAUAAUCGUAUACUCUCUUUCUCCUACAGGCUACAGCCGUUUCUCCUACAGACAACCAUUUCAUCUCCUACCGAUUCCUAACGAUUGAGAAUCGACUGAGCCCUUGUCGACCAGUCGUCGGCCUACUUCAGGCACCUUAACAGCGACCAUCUCUUCAAUCGCCUGAGAAAUCGACCAUCUCUUUAACGGAAUCUUUUGCUGCAUUUCUGUUGGCCAGAAAUGAUCAAAUUAGUAAUUGAAGUUAGGACACACUUUGCUGUUUGGUGUUUUGUUAUUUGUGGGUGAUUGUGGAUGGCAAUGAAUUGUUAAGAGAUAGGGUAGAGAACUAUGCCAUGAGGUUGAAAGAUAUGGGUAAGAAUGUUGAAUAAGAAACUUGAUAGAGAAGAAGAAAAUACAGAGAAAAAAACUGAGGUUGAUAGAUAUUUGAUGGAGCAAUGUGUGGAUGUUGAUGAUGUUGAUUUUGAUCUUUUGACUUGGUGGAAAUUAAAUGCAUCAAGAUUUAAGAUUCUUUCCAUGAUUGCUCGAGAUGUUUUAGCUAUUCCGGUCUCUACUGUUUCCUCCGAAUCUGCAUUCUCUACAGCAGGACGUGUUGUUGAUCCUUUUAGAUCUUCAUUGACACCAAAGACAGUGGAAGCACUUAUCUGCAUUCAAAAUUGGAUUCGUUCUAAACCAAUAUAGACAUCUGAAAUUCAUUAGAAGAAGUGGAAAGUCUAGAAGAAGAAAUUUUGAAGGGUGUUGCUGAAAUUAAACUUGAUUGAGUGAAAAUGAAUUCUAAAUACAAGAACAUGAGAAAUAUGGAGCAUUGGAUUUGGAACAUGGAGGAGCAUCGAAUUUGGAUUUGGAACAUGUGUUUUUUUUUAAGCUGAAAUGGAUUUGGAACAUGUUUUUUUUUUUUUUUUUUUUUUUGCUGAAAUGGAUUUAGAACAUUUUUUUUUUUUUGCUGAAAUGGAUUUAGAAUAUCGAACUUGUUUUUUUUAGAUUUGGGUUAUAAAAUUAUCCCUUAUGGACUGGUUGUGUA
Cannabis sativa is the source of this 1067-nucleotide long non-coding RNA. RefSeq lists it as uncharacterized. The transcript has 4 exons. Lineage: Eukaryota; Viridiplantae; Streptophyta; Magnoliopsida; Rosales; Cannabaceae. The record is from RefSeq and is a predicted model, not a curated record.